Ornithorhynchus anatinus (platypus) is the source of this 1045-nucleotide long non-coding RNA. RefSeq lists it as uncharacterized. Lineage: Eukaryota; Metazoa; Chordata; Mammalia; Monotremata; Ornithorhynchidae. The record is from RefSeq and is a predicted model, not a curated record. The transcript is spliced from 4 exons.
CUCCCAUUGGCUGCCCGGCCUGCCAAUCACGCUCAUGUAAACACUUUGGCCCUCAGCCAUUCCUAUAAAACCAAUUAUGGACCAAGGGGCUCGAGCGGUUUCUAGGCUCCCCCCGCCAGAGCUGAAUGAUCAAAACUGGCGGCUGACUGAUCAAAAUAGUAGGAGAUGCUUGUAGCUGCAAUUCAGUUCUUUUCAUUCCGCUGUUCAGUGGAAACGCUGUCAACUCCCCGAUUGCUGGGAACCAGCCUGCAGAAGGAGGACAAGAAUGAAGGGAGAGGGAAAUCGCCGCUUUCCCUGUCCUGCUUCCUCCUUGAAACUCAGUGUCAGAUCUCCAGUGAUUUAAUAUUUUGGGGAGGCCUCAGCGGCCGGAAGGAAGCGCUCUUCUAAAUAUCACCCUGGCACCUUCCGGACCCUCGGUGAGAGGACAGCGACAUCGGCCGAGACCCGGCGAGGGACGGCGCCCAAAUUAGCGGAGGAACCUCGCGAAGAAAAGAGGGGAGAAAAGGGGGAAAAGCUUGGGGUGGGGAGCUAAAUGGGAAGAGAAGGGGAGGGAGGAAAAAGGAGGUGAUUGCAAGGAAAAUUAAUGCAAGUCUGAAGCUUAUGGCUGCCUGAACAGAGAAUGCUGAGGGAUUUUGAGUGGUCACUGGAGCAGCAAUGAGUGACAGGCUCCCUCUAAGCUUUUUAAAAAGUACUGCUUUAUUCCUUGAAAACCUUGCAGAUUUCAAACCGAGCCCCCUUCCUCCCUCCCCCGCUCCCCCACCUCCACUUAAUACUCACCGAUGCUCAGCUUUGGGUGCGCUCCCCUCCUCCCCUACUCAAAAAAAGUGAGAAAUGUCGUCUUUUUUGUUGUUGUUUUCCUAUUCCAAAAAAUAUAGACCAGAGAAAAAUAAGACGGGCUUAAUCGCGUGAUGGGCUGGAAAGGCACAUUUUAUAAAUGUUUAAUGUUUUCACACCCGGAUGCUACAAGACGCUGUAAUUGUGACGGUGGGGUAUGUAUGCAAUAAAUCAUUUAGUUCCUAAUAAAAAUUCUGCCUGUUUGUCUUGA